RNAcentral lists this ribosomal RNA (433 nucleotides) under uncultured bacterium. Its description in RNAcentral is "bacterial SSU rRNA". It matches the Rfam family "Bacterial small subunit ribosomal RNA", at positions 355 to 786 of the family's 1533-position model. The record is from RNAcentral.
UGAGGAAUAUUGGUCAAUGGGCGGGAGCCUGAACCAGCCAAGCCGCGUGAGGGAGGAAGGCCCUAUGGGUCGUAAACCUCUUUUGUCAGGGAACAAAAGCGAGUAUGUAUACUAGUCUGAGUGUACCUGAAGAAAAAGCAUCGGCUAACUCCGUGCCAGCAGCCGCGGUAAUACGGAGGAUGCGAGCGUUAUCCGGAUUUAUUGGGUUUAAAGGGUGCGUAGGCGGCGGUGCAAGUCAGCGGUAAAAGCCCGGGGCUCAACCCCGGCGAGCCGUUGAAACUGCAGUGCUAGAGAAGGCGAGAGGUACGCGGAAUGCGCAGUGUAGCGGUGAAAUGCAUAGAUAUCACGCAGAACUCCGAUUGCGAAGGCAGCGUACUGGCGCCUGACUGACGCUGAGGCACGAAAGCGUGGGGAUCGAACAGGAUUAGAUACC